RNAcentral lists this long non-coding RNA (1954 nucleotides) under Sus scrofa (pig). RNAcentral's name for it is "lncRNA (ENSSSCG00025015641.1)". The record is from RNAcentral. Lineage: Eukaryota; Metazoa; Chordata; Mammalia; Artiodactyla; Suidae.
GAGUUGGGAGAAGGGGCAGAAAUAUACAGAGAUUUAGGACAAUGAGAAAGGUUAGUGGAAAGCAGCAUUAUUUUUAUUUAAAAAUUUUUUUUUUCUUUUUUAGGGCCGCACCUCCACAUAUGGAGGUUCCCAGGCUAACAGUUGAGUCGAAGCUGUAGCCCUGGCAUGCGCCACAGCCACAGCAACUCGAAUCACCUCAUCUGCAGCCUACACCACAGCUCACCGCAACUCGGGGUCCUUAACCCUUAACCCACUGAGCAAGGCCAGGAAUCGAACCCGCAACCUCAUGGUUUGUAGUCAGACUUGUUUCUGCUGCGCCACGACGAGAACUCCAUCAACUAUGCUUUAGUUUUUAAUCAUUAAAAAAGAGGGGAACAAGAUGCAGAGUGGGGCAGGACAGGAGUGAGGGAAGGAAUCGAGAGGAGGGCAGAGUCAACAGGAGAGCAGAGGGAAACAAAAAGAGACAGAUGAAAUAGGGAGCCGGAUAAGCAGGAUGACGUGGAAACACAUAGUAGUGCAGGUAGAGGGGAGACUGGAUCCGGGAGGGUGGUGGGAUGUUUGGAUGUGGGUGAUUUAAGUUGUGAUGUUUGAUUUGCGGCUUUAGAAUGUAGUCAGUUAAUUAAUUAAUUUAUUUGUGUUUUGAGGUCCACACCCUCGGCAUAUGGAGGUUCCCAGGCUAGGGGUCCAGUCAGAGCUGUAGUGGCCAGCCUACACCACAGCCACAGCCACACCAGAUCUGAGCAGCAUCUGUGACCUACACCACAGCUCACGCCAACGCCAGACCCUUAACCCACUGAGGGAGGCCAGGGAUCGAACCCACAACCUCAUGGCUCCUAGUCAGAUUCAUUAACCACUGACCCACGACGGGAACUCCACAGAAUGCAGUAAACUUAAAAUUUGUUGGCUUCAAUUAGGCAGAUGAGGAUGAGCAUUGCAAACCUUGCCAUGAGGCUUUGGCCUUUUGCAGUUGCUUGUAUGAGAGGCUAACUUACACUUCCAGUCCCCUAGUCAGCCAGAGGGCAGUGACUUGACUCAAGACAGUCUGCGGUCACCCCCCCUUUCCUUUUUCCUGACCUGGGAGAGAGGACAAGGACGAGGAGCCUGGGGCAAGAAAUGACUGCCUCUGUCUCUAGGUGAGGCCUCUUUGAAGGAACAUUAAACGCGUUUCUGGUGGAUUCACUUUUUUCUGUCGGAUUCACUUUUUUCUGCCUCAUUUUUUUACAUUUAAUUCUUCUUGUUGCUUGGAAUAAAUCUUGGUUUCGUUUCAUUUCUGCUUCCCUAUAAGUGAUUGUAAACUUCUGACAUAAGCGUUGGUGGUCUUGUAUAAUCAACUCAUGCAGUUAAUAUCAUAUAUUCUCAGUUUUUUUUAACUUUCACCUCAGAAUUUUACAAGAAAAAAUUUACAAAAUACUUCUUUUAGUGUUUAAGGUUUGUUUGAGGCCUGCCUCCUGUCUCCACUUUAUCUUAUGUUUUGGGCAAGUUCUUUGGUAAUUAGUAAAUAAUUUUAGACUAUUUUGAUGGUACUUGAUAAAGAUGUCAAUGAUUUUGCCGGGCGGUUUGCACCUGUGGCAAGAUGGAAUUUUCUUUCUUUUUUUUUGCUUUUUAGGGCCACACCUGUGGCAUCUGGAAGUUCCCAGGCUAGGGGCAAAUCAGAGCUGCAGCCGUUGGCCUACACAACAGCCAUAGCCACUCGGGAUCCGAGUUGAGUCUGCGACCUACACCACAGCUCACGGCAACGCCGGAUCCUUAACCCACUGAGCGGGGCCAGGGAUCAAACCUACGUCCUCACGGAUGCUCGUUACCUGCUGAGCCACGAACUGUGGUGUAGGUUGCAGAUGUGGCUCGGAUGUGGUAUUGCUGUGGCUCUGGCAUAGGCUGGUGGCUAUGGCUCCGAUUCGACCCCUAGCCUGGGAACCUCCAUAUGCCGCGAGAGCGGCCCAAGAAGUGGCAAAAA